This 286-nucleotide unclassified non-coding RNA is filed under the name Hevea brasiliensis (rubber tree). The record is from RNAcentral. Lineage: Eukaryota; Viridiplantae; Streptophyta; Magnoliopsida; Malpighiales; Euphorbiaceae.
GCACUAGUGACGAAACAAAUACUUUUGAGGAUACAGGUGAUAGUGUGUGCCCCGCCCAAGAUGCUCUCUUUAGGGUUCAUGAGAGGCUUGAUUCGGAGCAGGCACUGGGUGAUGAAAACACUGAUGAGGGAGUUCCUCAAGUUACUGCCCGCCUACUUGUGCCAUCUGACCAAAUUGGAUGUAUUAUUGGUAAAGCUGGUCAAAUUAUUCAAGGCAUCCGUAGUGAAACUGGUGCGCACAUUCGCAUCUUGAAGGAGGAGCAACUACCUGCAUGUGCUAUUAGUGG